CUAAGAGCAUGCGCAUUGGUUCUCUCAGCAGACAAAUUAGUAUAAAAACUAAAAGCAAGAAAGAAAAAGAAGAAAAAUAGAGGUACAUCCCUACAUAAAGAAACUUUGAGCUUGUUAGUAAAAAUUAAUUCUACACGUGUCUGCACCAUAAAUUUUAUGACAUCAAUUUUAGUUAGUUUAACUGUUUUACUUCAGAAUACUAUUAUACUAGGGUAGGUCCGCCCUACGGGCGGGAUAUAUUUUUAUUUGUGAUUUAGAUUUUUGUUUAUUGUAUGAUUUUAUGGUUUAUGUUUUAGAUUUGCAUUUGCAAUUGAUGUAUAUAAUAAUAAUUUUUCUCAUUUAGAAAAUUUUAAAUGAUAAAAUAUAUUACAUUCAUUUUACUUAAUGUUUGAUAUGUUCGUUUGUUUUUCUAACUUGUUUUUGUUUUUUAUUUGUUUUCAACUACAUUUUCUGACAUUAUACUAUUUUGUUAUUAUCUUUCUUUUUUGUUAUAUUUCUUAUAAUGAACACACAUUUUUAUAUAAUCUUCACAUAUGUCUAACUAAACUUCUUUAUUUCUUAUUUUUAUUAGUCUUGUUGGAGAUUAUAAGUUUGUAUUGGCUGACAUGAUUUUCAUGAUUGAAAUGGUAUACAUUUUCUUAAAUGUUUGCUCAAACGUUUUUAUAUAUAGCAAAUAGAUUUAAGUUUUAUUGUUGUUGUUAGGUUUAAUACUCAAAUAUUGGUUAUUAUAUAUUUUAUAUAUAUUGAAUGUAUUUUUUUUAUUUAACACAUUUUAUUUUAAAAUUAAAUUUAAAUAAUUUAACAUGAAUAUAUAAUUCACUAUAAUAGGAAAUUAUUUGUUAAAGAACAGAAUCAGAACAUAAUAUUAAUUAUAAAUACUUAAAUAAAUAUAUGACUUAAUAUUGUGUAUACUAUAUUUAAAGACUAAAUAAACAAUAUUAUCCAAUAACUUAUUAGUUUUUCUAAAAUAAAAUUCACUUGUUAAAUUUUAGAAUAGUUUUUAAUAGUGGCUUCUUUAUAUAUAAGUAAUCUAUUAUAUUUUUAGAGAAAGUUACCGUAUUUUUAUUAGAUAUUUUUGUCUGAUUGAUUAGACUAUCAACUAUCGAAAAUAUAAUUUAUUUUUAUACAUAUAUAUCAUGUUGGAACAAUUUUUUACUAUAACUUUAGAAUGGAGAAGUUUCGGCUGAGGAUUCAAGAGGAGGAAGAAAGGAUGACGCCGAUAGAUGCGGAGCCCAAUAAUUUUCACUUCAGGCCCAAACAUAAACAUCACGUAGCCCACAAAAAAGAUGUUUCACAAUUAAGGUAUAUCCUUAUCUUUUACUUAUUCUACACUCAGAAUAUACGUUUUUUAAAAGUUCAUUAUGAUAACUUUCCUUUAAAAUCAAAAUUUUCUUUUUUAAGCUUUGCAAUCUCCGCCUUCCUUUUUUAUCUUCUUCAUAAUGUCUUGGCAUAAUAUCUUAACAUUUUUCUAUCUAGUCGGAUCUGGCAUGUUUGAAGAAGAUCCGAUGUUGAUUACACAGCCAUCGUGGCCGGCAGCUUCUCCAAGUCUAGUAACAACAUCGAAGAGCCACCACUGUCGCGUUUUGUCUACCACCGCCACUACUGUCGCGUUUUCUCAACCACCGCAACAACUAUCGCGUUUUGUCAACCACUGCAACCUCCGUCACGUUUUGUCAACCACCGCCAUUAUAAUUGUAGCUCCUUCCACCGUUAGGUUUUCAUUUCUUUUUUUUUAACCAUUUUUUUAUUUUUUUCGUAAUAAUUGAAUGAUUUAAAAUAUUAUUUUUUAAUUUCCUUAUAAUGGCUACAUAUUAUGGGGUCACACAUAUAAUGAAGGUAAUUUGGACUUUGGGUAUUAUCAAUAAGUAUCUUAGUACACA
Long non-coding RNA from Brassica rapa (field mustard), 1880 nucleotides. RefSeq lists it as uncharacterized. The record is from RefSeq and is a predicted model, not a curated record. NCBI's taxonomy places the organism in Eukaryota, Viridiplantae, Streptophyta, Magnoliopsida, Brassicales, Brassicaceae.